This 981-nucleotide long non-coding RNA is filed under the name Anas platyrhynchos platyrhynchos (common mallard). RNAcentral's name for it is "lncRNA (ENSAPLG00000023519.1)". The record is from RNAcentral. Lineage: Eukaryota; Metazoa; Chordata; Aves; Anseriformes; Anatidae.
GGUGAAGUUUUAAAAUUCUUGCUCCCAAAGAAUAUAUGUCUUGUAUUCUCUCCAAAACAAAAUGCAAUAUAGAAAUCAUACUAAUUUCCAUAUUAAGAACCCAAUCUUUUGGGUUGCUUUUGUGUUUAAAAAAAAAAAAAAAAAAAAAAAAAAAAGCUUAUUCCAUAAAAGUGUUUUCAAACUGUGGAGCUGUCCUAGAAUCCAUCAAUGUGACACAUCUGUAUUGAAGUCGGUGCUAUGUCACUUCCACCUGCUUCAUAUUCACUCUAAAGUUGACAAGUAUCGUGUACAGGCUGAAUUUAUACUAUACAUGUCAGAGGGAGUACACUUCAGUUUCUUCUACCAAAAAAAAAAAAAAAAUGCUGUAAGAAGCAAUGAUGAUGUGAUGAUGCUUAAUUUAAAAAGAAACUGCAAGAAAGAAAGAGAGAGACAGAGAGCAGGCAGGAAGGCAAGAAAAAGAAAAAGUAAUAAAGAAAGUGGAACAGGCAGACUAAACUCACCAUUUUAUGCAGACUUGGAAUUCAGAUACCAAGCAAAAUUUAAGAAAUGUAACUGCUAAAUGGACAGCCUGAAGCAAACAUAAACACAAGGACAGAAUGUUGACUUCUUCUGGGAAUGCCAGUUAAAAUCUAUUUUAAACUAGAGAUGGACACAGCUGCAAACCUGAGAAGAAAGCGUUAAUGUGGGUGACCCAGCUUAUCCGUGAUCACUGGUUUGCUUUUCCUUUAUAGCAGGACAGAAGAUAUUAGAAUUGCAUUCAAAAAGGGAGUUUUAUGGAAAACCCUACUUUGAAGUGGGUAUUUGGCCUUUUGCUUUUAAAGGCAAGUAACUUUAAAUUCUCUUUGAAGAAGAGUAGAGGCCUAGUUGUACAGCAUUCUUUAUUACAAAGAUUUCUAGUCUUAGGCUCUACUAGCCCUCUCCUUUUAACAUCUCUUACCAAGGUGGAACAAAAACUAAUAAAAAUAGCUGAUGUCUAUCUCA